GACGAACGCUGGCGGCGUGCUUAACACAUGCAAGUCGAACGGAAAGGCCCUGCUUUUGUGGGGUUCUCGAGUGGCGAGCGGGUGAGUAACACGUGAGUAACCUGCCCUUGUCUUUGGGAUAACUUCAGGAGACUGGGGCUAAUACCGGAUAGGAGCUCCUGCUGCAUGGUGGGGGUUGGAAAGUUUCGGCGGUUGGGUAUGGACUCGCGGGUUAUCAGCUUGAUGGUGGAGUAGGGGUUGCCGAAGGCUUUGACGGGUAGCCGGCCUGAGAGACUGACCGGCGACCUUGGGACUGAGAUACGGACCAGACGGCUACGGGAGGCAGUAGGGGGGAAUAUUGCGGAAUGGGCGGGAGUCUGAGGCAGAAACGCUGCGAGCGGGAAGCCGUGCUUCGGGUUAUAAACCUCUGUCGCAUGUGAUGAAGCGUGAGUGACGGUAAUGGGUAAAGAAGCACCGGCUAACUACGUG
This 468-nucleotide ribosomal RNA is filed under the name uncultured bacterium. Its description in RNAcentral is "partial 16S ribosomal RNA". It matches the Rfam family "Bacterial small subunit ribosomal RNA", at positions 28 to 507 of the family's 1533-position model. The record is from RNAcentral.